Molecule: ribosomal RNA, 458 nt
Filed under: uncultured bacterium
Lineage: Bacteria
Description: bacterial SSU rRNA
Rfam family: Bacterial small subunit ribosomal RNA
Source: RNAcentral
AACGAACGCGGGCGGCAUGCCUAACACAUGCAAGUCGAACGGGAUCCUAGCUUGCUAGGUGAGAGUGGCGGACGGGUGAGUAACACGUGGGAAUCUGCCUUUUGGUUCGGGAUAACCGCGGGAAACUGCGGCUAAUACCGAAUGCCCUCGAGAGAGGAAAGAUUUAUCGCCAGAAGAGGAGCCCGCGUCCGAUUAGGUAGUUGGUGGGGUAAAGGCCUACCAAGCCGACGAUCGGUAGCUGGUCUGAGAGGAUGAUCAGCCACACUGGGACUGAGAUACGGCCCAGACUCCUACGGGAGGCAGCAGUGGGGAAUAUUGGACAAUGGGGGCAACCCUGAUCCAGCAAUGCCGCGUGAGUGAUGAAGGCCUUAGGGUUGUAAAGCUCUUUUGCCAGGGAAGAUGAUGACUGUACCUGGAGAAUAAGCCCCGGCUAACUUCGUGCCAGCAGCCGCGGUAAU